GCAGCAAGGAGCUGACUUCCCAAGAAGGGCAAGGCAGCAGCAUUAUCCUGAUCAUAUUCCAAGGAAGUAAAACGACUAUCUUGAGGAAACCCCAGAAUACGGGUUUAUUUCUAAAGAAACAGUCAGAAUUUCCAAACAUCAGUGGAAGGAAAAGACUGUGGAGGAGGAGAACACUUGAUUAUCACUGUAAUACCAACAAUAAUUUUGCCAGUACUGAAUAGACCCAAUCAGGAAACCAACCCCCCAGGACUGUGCCACCUCCCAGUCACAGCCACAGUCCAGAGAUGGGAAAUUCCCACCUGGCAGAUGAUCCAGGCUUACCACCAGAUCCACUCUCACACGCAUGGGGGGCAGAAAGAGAAGACAAGGAGAAGGAAAAGCAGAGAUGUCACAACAUAAGGAAGACCCUGAGCUCCAUCUUGCUGUUAGGAGUUAUGGUCUUUGAACUGGAUGAAGGCUGUUUGCUGGACAGCCUAAUAGGGGAGCCUCCUCUCUGGUACAUGCUGUACUCCCUGCUACUUGGAAAGGAUCUCCCUGUCCAGCGUCAGAGAGAGAAACACUAUCACCACUAAUGGGGCUCUGUGGGGCCAAACCAGAAGGAAGAUGAACACUUUAAAUGCAUGGCUGUGAUUUGAAGAGCAUUUAUUAUUUAGAAACUUACUUCUACAAGAAAUAUAAUCUAUGCUGUUUUUUCUGGAAAGAUCUUCAACACACCUACGCUAUACAUAUGUCCACCCAAUAAAAUGUUAUUAAUCA
This is a long non-coding RNA of Gavialis gangeticus (Gharial), 756 nucleotides long. RefSeq lists it as uncharacterized. NCBI's taxonomy places the organism in Eukaryota, Metazoa, Chordata, Crocodylia, Gavialidae. The transcript is spliced from 2 exons. The record is from RefSeq and is a predicted model, not a curated record.